Molecule: long non-coding RNA, 5134 nt
Organism: Homo sapiens (human)
Lineage: Eukaryota; Metazoa; Chordata; Mammalia; Primates; Hominidae
Exons: 2
Source: RefSeq, a predicted model, not a curated record
CAUUUGUUCUUUGCUGGCGUGGGAAGAGCUCGGGUUUUGGAGAAGCAGCGUGGACAUUGGACUGUGACCCUGAACGUUGCCUUCAACUUCUCUGAGGCUCAGCCUCCUCCUCUGAGAUACGUUCCUCACGCAGCUGUUGUGAGUAGAUGAAAUAAUGUAUGUAAAGCUCCACAAGGCUUCGGCAUACAGGAGAGGCUCAAUGCUGCUUGUUGAAUGCAUGAACAGGUGAGGAAACCUUGGUGGAGAAAUCGAGCAGCUUCCCUGAAGUCACACCACUGACAAUCAAUGGAGUCAGCAUUCAAAAGACCCAGCUGAUCAAACGGGAUGCAAUCAAGAAGCCAGCCAAAACCUGAGAGUGGGACUCCAGAGCCGGCCUCACCAACCCCUGAUGGUCUGUUAACUCCUGCCCUGGAGCCGAGCAUGUCCUUUGGUGGGAAACUAUGGAGUGUGGUGGCCAAAGGCACUGGCCAAAGAGCCUAGCUGCCUGGGUUCCUCUUCCAGUUCCUCUUCCUGUGUGGAUGCUUGAGUGCGUUACCCAGCCUUCUGUGCCUCAGUUCCCUCCUCUGUAUCACAUGAAGGUGCAUGGAUGGGACUAGGUGGGACAGGCACUCCCACCCACUCAGAGCUCCCAAGUCCAACUACCUCACGGAAGGCCGCCUUUGUCCUUGGCCCCACACUGGGUCCAGUCUGUCGCAGUGGAGUGCAGGCCUGUGGUACAAUGCAAGGCGACCACAUGUAGUUCCUGCACCAGAGAGAGCCAUGGGAUGGGGGGCUGAGUUAAAAACUCAUAGACCCCUCAUCAACACAGUGGCCAGCACAUGUGCAGCCCUGUGCCAGGGACCCUGGAGCUUACCACCCAUGCUCCUCCAGCCCAUCUGGAGCUCCUGCCCCCAACCCCAGCACCCUAUUUAUCUAUAGCUACUGCACCCUGGAAUGCACCCUAAUACAUUUUCCUGGAUCUCACCUGUGAAUUUCCCCAGUUAGGCUGUGAGUACCCUAAAAGCAAGGACUCUAGUUUCCUCAUCCUCCAUCUUUGAUAAAGGCUGGUCUGGCCGGGCAUGGUGGCUCACGCCUGUAAUCCCAGCACUUUGGGGGCCGAGGCAGGCAGAUCACGAGGUCAGGAGAUCGAGACCAUCCUGGCCAACACGGUGAAACCCCGUCUCUACCAAAAAAAAAAAUACAAAAAAUUAGCCGGGCCUGGUGGCAGGAGCCUGUAGUCCCAGCUACUCAGGAGGCUGAGGCAGGAAAUGGCGUGAACCUAGGAGGCGGAGCUUGCAGUGAGCUGAGAUUGUGCCACUGCACUCCAGCCUGGGUGACACAGCGAGACUCCAUCUCAACAACAACAACAACAAAAAAGGCUGCUCCAGACAUCAGGCCCUCAAAACACACUUGAAAUGGAUGGAAUUGGGUUUGGGGGCUUAGCUACUAUAACUUUGGAGUGGUACGUUAAAUAUUCAUUCUUACUAGAGGUGGAAAAAGGAACAGUAUGGAGGGACUGGAUGUGGACUUGGAUGCAAAUGUAUGCAAACCACUGUGCAAUGAUAUGCAGAUGUGCAUCCUGGAUCUGUGGGAAGGAGUUCUAUGACUUCAGAACCCUGGUUCUGGCGGGCUUUGCUCUCUGAGGGGCUCUGCCCCUGCUGGGGAUCUUGCCAUCUCGCAUGGCAAUGCUGACAGCUGGCUGCCGUGCGGCAUUCUGGCGCCAGUGGAAACCAUUUGGGGAUCCAUGUCAUCUUCUGAUCCUCGGUGAAGCAGCUCCCACCCACCAGGGCAGAUGAGCCAACAGGAGGCUAUAAAGACAGAGGCCUGCAUGAGGAAAGGCUGGCGUGUAGCCAGAGCUGGAGGCUCCUGGGUUCCAGGGACACAGCUCUGGGGGAGCACGGAGCGUGGGACCAGGGAGGAAAGAUCACACUUGGUCUCAUUUCCAGCUCUCUGCUGUGGCCACCACUGGGGAGCCCAUGGCUGCCUGACACUCCUCACCACCACUCCCAGCCCUAGGCCGUGCUGCCCACCAGCCGUCAGCCAGUGCCCUGCAUGGCAGGCAGGCCAUGGUAUCUGGGAGAGCUAAGGGCUUCCUAGCACUGUAGCCACCAUGUAUGGGGCACCCUCUCUGGCCAGGCACCGUGACCAAGCACUUUAACCAUAUUAUAUCACUUAAUCUUUGACAGCCCCACCAGGUAGGCAGUACUCUUACGAUCCUUAUUUUAUGGAUGAAGAAACAGAGGCCAGGGUCAUCCAACCUGCAAAUGGUUGAGCCGGGAUUCAAACCCAAAACUGUUAGACUCCAAAAGUGGCCCUCUCAACUGCCACUUCCUGCCUCCUCUCCCACACCACAAUGGCCACUGUGUACCCGGUUCCCAUGAGGGACAUUUGGGGAGGGGGACAAGUCCAGGGUUGAGAGGGGGAAAGUUCCAGUGUAGUGCUUGGGGUUCCCCGCCCCAUGCAAGGUAAGGUAAGCUGGCAGCCACCUAAUUGAAACACACACCCCCACCACACCCCCGCCACACCCCCCUGCCUCACCUAGAAUGUCCCCCACUCAACUACUGCAGCACCUGGAGUCCUGCCAUUAGAACCUCAUGCUUGUUUUAGAGAAUGCUUUUUCUGUGGGACAAGAGCUGUUGUCUUUAGUCUCCUAUUUUAAAAGACAAAUCCUCUUGGAAGGCAGGAGAGGCUGAGGUCAGCAGGGAGGUCCUAGAGAAAUGUAUGCAAAAGCCAGGAGGGCCCAGAAGGCAAAUUCUGUGAUCAAAUUCAGUGAUGUUAUGGCCCUGGGAUGAGGAUGACAGUGAGGGUGACCCUUGGCACCCUACCUAGGGCACCUGGUACUCUUUCCCACCAGUUGCACAUCAUAUUCCACACCCAGCAGACCCUCAAUCAAUGGCAUUCUAAUUAGUCAUAGCAGGAGGGUAACCCUAAGAGAUGUAGCAGAACUGCAAUUUUCACCCCACUUUAGAGUCCAGGAAACUGAGGCCUAGAGAGGCUGUGAGUAGCUCCAACUUGACAGUGGGUCAGAGAAGAACCAGAUCAGUACUCAGGAGUCCAGAGUUGGUGGUUGGAGGGGGUGGCGUGCAAUGAGAGGCUGGUGGGUGGGGUCAUGCAUGGCAAUGCAACCCUGGAGGCCCCAUCUCCUUCAGAGAAGUCAAGGUGGUGAGGUCAAGGGGAAGGGGAAGGAGGACAGGAGCAGAGAGGUGAUGUGAGGGAAGCAGGGUGGGCUGGCAGGGGCCGAGAACCCCAGUGCCUGGGAAUCUUCAGGGGCUCUGCGAGGCGGCCCAAGGCCGGGGUUCCCACAGCGGCAGGUGGUCACCAAGCGGGCCAGGCCGGACAGGGCUGGCACCGACUCUAGCAGGGGUGGAGGUGCCAGCUCUCACCCGCCAGCCGGCCUGCCAGCUGGGGAAGCUUCAUUAGAAUUCCUCAGCCCUCCAACCCAUUUCCUUCCUGGUGAACAGGACAGCUAAUGGCCCCAGUUGCCUGCUGCCAGGGUGAGGUGGGUCGGGCUGGCAGCUUCAGGCCAGGCUGGGGGUAGCGGUGACCUCUAACAACCCAGGAAGCAUGCCUCUCCCCUGCCCUGGGGGAGGGAGCAGCCCACAGUGUGACCCGAAAUUUCCCCAAGUUAAAGACCAUCUGCCUGUCUGUCUAUCCAUCCCCCCAGGGCCCAGGGGGCUGGUGAGUGUGGACAGACAGACACAGGCUGUGGGAAGCUGCAGUGAUUAAUGAGUGAUGAAAACCAGACUUCGUCAGGAUGGGGGUGGGGACAUAGAAGCAGAGAGAGGUUGUCUGUUUUAUGCUUGGCUCAGCUCUAAGCCCACAGCUCAGGGGAGGAGGGUGGAGGCAGCUGAGGGCAGUACUGGGCCCUGGCCUCAAAAUCCCAGUCCGAGCAUAGGGCCCCAGUUCAUAGACACCCCCCUCAUCCCCCAGUACCUCCUUCAGCCUCUGCCCUGGAAGGUUUCCCUAAGAGGAACUAGCUUUACUCCCAAAUCCCAGGGACUUGCACUGGCCCUCAAAUACCAUCCAUCCCAGAACACCCCAGAAGCCAUGGGGAACAGCAGGGAAAACAGCCUCACCAACCCUCCAAUCUUCUUGUCAUGGGGCCAACGAUUCUGGGGCCCAGAGCCUGAAGGUCCUCUCACCCUUCACCCCGACAAACACAUGACCACUCCCACAUUCCCAAACUCUGCCCCCAGGACCUGCUGAAGUCAAGCAGAUUUUUCUCAAAUGUCAAGGACAGCAAAAGCUACUUCUAAGAGGAUUCAGCUCAAACCUCCAAACCUGCAAAUAGACAGUCAGGAUAAACCCAAGCAGGAGAGAGGCUUGCACAACCACUGCUUUUGGUCCCCACCCGACAGACACCUUGAGGGACCUUGGCAACAUCCUCCUCCCCUGCCCGAAAAUAUUCCCACACUGGCCCAUCUGCUCCAGGGCCUUGGAUUCCACCAUUCAACCCUGACCUCCCUUUGCAAUACUGAACUCGAAGACUCUUGCCGAGGUUUCAAGUGUGUCCCCGCUCCCAGGGCCUGGGAUCUGGCCAGGGAGGGCUGGAAAGAAGGAAAUGCGCCACAGAUGGAGGAAGUAGCUUCGGCAAGGUGAAGCACAAAGGCAAACUUUGCUGACAGAAGACUCUUGCUGCUGGCCAACCAGGCCUGCCUGUCAUGAGAAUCAAAAUUGUUUUCUUUUGUCGAAAAAAUAUUUCCAAGGUAGUUCUUGUGUUGUGCUCAGGCACGUGGGUAAGGAAGCAAUAGUGAGUGCUUCCUUCUUGCCUGCCAGGGACCUUGUGCAUAUCUGUUGGCUCAUUGCAUCUUAGAAACUCCUGAAGAAACUGAGGCUUGGGGAGGUUGCCUGCCCCCACGCACCCCUCAGGGACUAAGUGACAGAGCUGAGAUCCCCAGUCGGCCAGACACAAAGCCCUCCUACUUUCUGAAGCCCCACCCUGCUGGGGAGGGAGAACUGGACGCCAUCUGGGAAGAAUUAAGGAGGUUUUUAGAAAAGGCCUCUGCAGGAAUGAGAAAACCUUCAUUAGGGCUUUUUAAUCAAUAAAGCAGGAACAAAACCUCCCUCCCUGCAAACAUUUCUGGACUCCUAGGAGAUGCCCAACUGUGCCCAACAAAUGAUUCAGAAAACGAGUAUAAAAUUCAAAAAAUCCCCA